RNAcentral lists this ribosomal RNA (457 nucleotides) under uncultured bacterium. RNAcentral describes it as "SSU rRNA". It matches the Rfam family "Bacterial small subunit ribosomal RNA", at positions 26 to 518 of the family's 1533-position model. The record is from RNAcentral.
AGAACGAACGCUGGCGGCAUGCCUAACACAUGCAAGUCGAACGCUCUUGGGGCUUCGGUUCCAAGGGAGCGGCGCACGGGUGAGUAGCGCGUGGGAACCUGCCCUGGAGUGGGGGAUAACCGAGGGAAACUUCGGCUAAUACCGCAUACGCCGGGAAACCGGGAAAGAUUUAUCGCUCUAGGAGGGGCCCGCGUCGGAUUAGGUAGUUGGUGGGGUAACGGCUUACCAAGCCUGUGAUCCGUAGCUGGUCUGAGAGGAUGAUCAGCCACACUGGGACUGAGACACGGCCCAGACUCCUACGGGAGGCAGCAGUGGGGAAUAUUGGACAAUGGGCGCAAGCCUGAUCCAGCAAUGCCGCGUGAGUGAUGAAGGCCUUCGGGUUGUAAAGCUCUUUCGCACGCGAGGAUGAUGACGCUAGCGUGAGAAGAAGCCCGGCUAACUUCGCGCUAGCAGCCGC